GUACACGCUGUGACUAGCAUAUCAAUAAGCGGAGGAAAAGAAACUAACAAGGAUUCCCCUAGUAACGGCGAGUGAAGCGGGAAGAGCUCAAAUUUGAAAUCUUAAAGGGUUUCCCUUUACGAAUUGUAGUUUAAAGAAGUGUUUUCUGUUGAGGUUUUGGUAAAAGUUCUUUGGAAUAGGACAUCAUAGAGGGUGAGAAUCCCGUAUUUGACCUUUACUUUCAACUUUGUGAUACACUUUCAAAGAGUCGGAUUGUUUGGGAAUGCAGUCCAAAAUGGGUGGUAAAUUUCAUCUAAAGCUAAAUAUUGGCGAGAGACCGAUAGCGAACAAGUACCGUGAGGGAAAGAUGAAAAGAACUUUGAAAAGAGAGUUAAACAGUACGUGAAAUUGUCAAAAGGGAAGCGUUUGACACCAGUGUUGUUUUUCUGAAAAUCAAUUAAAGAACUGUUUAUGCUAAGUUGUUUAGACUUUAUCAGCUAACUGUUUAGUUUUGAGUUUUUCUUUAAUGCACUUUUCAGUUAACAAGUCAACAUCAAUUUCUUUUGCUGUAAAAAAGCUUGAGGAAGGUGGCUUGAGAUUCGUCAUAAGUGUUUAUAGCCUCUUGCCUAUGCAGUCGGAGAGAUUGAGGUCUGCAGCGUAGAUCCUUCGGGGCUAAAUGCAUUUGUGCUAAGUUAUAGCAUUUUAUAGACAACUUGUUGACUAUGAUUUGUCUUGUAGCUUACUCGCUUAUGUUAUUUUACCUACGCUUAGGAUGUUGAGUCGUAGAGCACGCAG
RNAcentral lists this ribosomal RNA (774 nucleotides) under uncultured Neocallimastigales. Its description in RNAcentral is "partial large subunit ribosomal RNA". It matches the Rfam family "Eukaryotic large subunit ribosomal RNA", at positions 22 to 628 of the family's 3401-position model. The record is from RNAcentral. Lineage: Eukaryota; Fungi; Neocallimastigomycota; Neocallimastigomycetes; Neocallimastigales.